UUAUAUUGGGCAAAUCAACAUAUGAGUUAAUUCUAUUUACAACUCCUACAAAUAAAGAAAAUGAACGUACAACAUGAUAUGAUGCUCAAGUGUCUAUGAUUCAAGCUAACUCAUUACAUGUGUUUGUCUUUAUGGAAUGAGCAUAAAUGUAAAUGUAUAUACUAGAGUUGUUUCUAGUGUUUGUGAUGAGGAAGGCUAUCUUAUUCUUGAUUGCAGUAUUUCCAGGAAUUGUGUAUAUUACUCUUGAGUAAUUGUCUUAGUUUCCGAUUGUCUUCUAAUUCACUUGAGCUCGUUGAGCAGACUUAGUUGACACGGGAGGGUUUCCCUUUGUCAUGAUUCUUGUGCCC
RNAcentral lists this long non-coding RNA (347 nucleotides) under Carica papaya (papaya). RNAcentral describes it as "long non-coding RNA (CPAP_LNC008813)". The record is from RNAcentral. Lineage: Eukaryota; Viridiplantae; Streptophyta; Magnoliopsida; Brassicales; Caricaceae.